CCAACUCUGAGUUUCUUUUCUCAAAAUCUUGCUUAAUGAUCUCUAACUUGGAUGGGAUGACCCGUAAAUGCUCCUCUAUCGUUUGUGUGUUCCCUUGAUUCUGCCUAGGGAUGUUGUCGUUGACUCUCCUACCCCACCACCAUUUAUACUCGGGGGUCGUCAUCGGGCCUGCAGUGAAUCCUUUCAUUCUUCAAGUUUGGUUCCAUGCAUCUGAUAUCUCUCGCACCCUCUUUUUAUAAUUGUUGUCUUUAUAGGGGAACUCAC
This 264-nucleotide long non-coding RNA is filed under the name Gossypium barbadense (sea-island cotton). RNAcentral describes it as "long non-coding RNA (GBAR_LNC011622)". The record is from RNAcentral. Lineage: Eukaryota; Viridiplantae; Streptophyta; Magnoliopsida; Malvales; Malvaceae.